UGAGGAAUAUUGGUCAAUGGCCGAGAGGCUGAACCAGCCAAGUCGCGUGAGGGAUGACGGCCCUACGGGUUGUAAACCUCUUUUGCCGGGGAGCAAAGAGCGGGACGCGUCCCGCCUCGAGGGUACCCGGAGAAAAAGCAUCGGCUAACUCCGUGCCAGCAGCCGCGGUAAUACGGAGGAUGCGAGCGUUAUCCGGAUUUAUUGGGUUUAAAGGGUGCGCAGGCGGAAUGUCAAGUCAGCGGUAAAAUUUCGGGGCUCAACCCCGUCGUGCCGUUGAAACUGGCGUUCUUGAGUGAGCGAGAA
Molecule: ribosomal RNA, 303 nt
Filed under: uncultured bacterium
Lineage: Bacteria
Description: bacterial SSU rRNA
Rfam family: Bacterial small subunit ribosomal RNA
Source: RNAcentral